AGCUUCCCUAGAGCUGCGCACGGCACCUCACCGGCCGGUUGGGAAGAGCUGAGACCUCCUACAGGAACAUAGCUCUGCACUAAAUUCAUGCUGAAGAAGA
Prionailurus viverrinus (fishing cat) is the source of this 100-nucleotide long non-coding RNA. RefSeq lists it as uncharacterized. NCBI's taxonomy places the organism in Eukaryota, Metazoa, Chordata, Mammalia, Carnivora, Felidae. The transcript has 2 exons. The record is from RefSeq and is a predicted model, not a curated record.